This is a long non-coding RNA of Jatropha curcas, 639 nucleotides long. RefSeq lists it as uncharacterized. NCBI's taxonomy places the organism in Eukaryota, Viridiplantae, Streptophyta, Magnoliopsida, Malpighiales, Euphorbiaceae. The record is from RefSeq and is a predicted model, not a curated record.
CCGUCAAAAACUGGAAGAGAGAAAGGGAGGGUUAAAGGAAAUACAUGGAGAUGGGUAGAUAGGUAAGAAGAAGAAGAAGAAAAAACUUGUGGUCUCUUCUUGCUUACUCUACCUAUUCCAUCCAUUUCCUUCAAUUUCUCUCUUUCUCAGGCUUUCAGAUCAGAUCCACUAGAGAAAGUGAGUGAAAGGGUGAGAGGGAAAGGGAGAAUGUUGGUGGGAGUCAUGGGUAUGGGAGGACUGGGCAAACUUGCUUUGUUUUUAAUUAGCAAAGAUGAUUUUUCCCAAGACCUCCCAUACCAUUGAUUUCCAGCUAUUUUCUUCUUUUCCCUUAGCUUGUCCUUCUUUAGCUAUGAUUCCAUCAACUCUAGAACAAUGCAAGGAAGCUUGGAAGCAGAUAUAACAACAUGAAGCCUCCUCCGCCACCGCAACAAGGCAAAAUGCGGCACAUGUUCCCACCGGAGAUCGGGAUCGGGCUGCCCCUGGCGCCGCCUCCGCCUUAGAUGAAUGCCUGAAAUGAAUUACUUGUAUUAAGUAAUGAUUAAGUUUAUAAUAAUAUGUCUCUCUAUAUAUAGAUUAGGCAAUUGAUAAACUUACAUGUAAUGUUGACUUUCCAAAUAAAAACAACAUAUGUUUCCAUCA